GGAACGUGCUGUACUGAACGUCUUUACUUUCCAGAUGGCACCCCGAAGGUCUACACAAGGGCUCAAGUAGCGGAGAGGGAACGUGACAAAGUUCGGAGACUGGUUGAAGCUUUACUGGACAAGCGGAAUGACGCUGAGGAUCGUGUGGAUGAACUCGAAGAAAUUGUUCAUUGGCAAUCAAUCUGCGAAGGUGUCGAAUGGUACUAUCAUCUCAAUAUCACUGUGAAGACCAAAGAAGCUGCCAAGUGCCAAUGAUGCGGGCAGCACCAGUCUAUUCUUCGUUGAAGUCGCACGUGAUUCGAAUGAUAUCACAGGAUAUUAUAUCAACACUUUCUCCAGGGUUGACACUGACGGCCAGGAUCGUGGAGCUACCUGCAAUGGCUGUAUAAACAAUGAAAGUGAUGGUAUGAAGCACCCGCGUGCUGCUUCAUUCAAAGGCGGCCACGUUUCCCACUUGGUUUUG
Long non-coding RNA from Triticum aestivum (bread wheat), 463 nucleotides. RefSeq lists it as uncharacterized. NCBI's taxonomy places the organism in Eukaryota, Viridiplantae, Streptophyta, Magnoliopsida, Poales, Poaceae. The transcript has 3 exons. The record is from RefSeq and is a predicted model, not a curated record.